GCCCCAAUGGCGCAGUGGUGCAGCGCUUGGUGCCUUUCCGAGUUUGGCUAACUCGAGAGGUCGUCGGUUCGAAUCCGGCUUGGGUCG
Molecule: transfer RNA, 87 nt
Filed under: Thielaviopsis punctulata
Lineage: Eukaryota; Fungi; Ascomycota; Sordariomycetes; Microascales; Ceratocystidaceae
Description: Ceratocystis radicicola tRNA
Rfam family: tRNA
About the family: Transfer RNA (tRNA) molecules are approximately 80 nucleotides in length. Their secondary structure includes four short double-helical elements and three loops (D, anti-codon, and T loops).
Source: Rfam by way of RNAcentral